Molecule: small nucleolar RNA, 135 nt
Organism: Artibeus jamaicensis (Jamaican fruit-eating bat)
Lineage: Eukaryota; Metazoa; Chordata; Mammalia; Chiroptera; Phyllostomidae
Product: small nucleolar RNA SNORA42/SNORA80 family
Exons: 1
Source: RefSeq, a predicted model, not a curated record
UCAUGGGUUGGGAUUUAUGGCAGGCCCAUCCCCCCUGGGUCUCUCAUAGUGCACUAUGCCACAGCCAACUUUGGGCUUUAACCCUUGUCUGGCCUUGGCCCAUAGGCUGCUGGCACUGACAUGGGUUAUAGUGAA